Molecule: non-coding RNA, 322 nt
Organism: Podarcis lilfordi (Lilford's wall lizard)
Lineage: Eukaryota; Metazoa; Chordata; Lepidosauria; Squamata; Lacertidae
Source: the annotation of a GenBank genome assembly
UGGCUUAAUUUGAUUCAGCACGGGAAAACUCACAUGGCCUGUACAUGGAAAGGAUUGACAGAUGGAAAACUGUUUCUCAGUUCUGUGGGUAGUGGUACAUGGCCAUUCUUAGUUGGUGGAGCAAUUUGUCUGGUUAAUUCUGAUAAUGAAUGAGACUCUGACAUGCUAACUAGUUAUGGGACCCCUGAGCAGUCAGCGUCCAACUUUUUCAUUCAUAGAAUCACAGAAUUGUAGAGUUGGAAGGGACCUGGGGGUCAUCUAGUUCAAUCCCCUGCAAUGUAGGAAUCUCAUCCAUGACAGGCAACUAGCCAACCUCUGCAUA